UACCUACGGGAGGCAGCAGUCGGGAAUAUUGCGCAAUGGAGGAAACUCUGACGCAGUGACGCCGCGUAUAGGAAGAAGUUUUUCGGAAUGUAAACUAUUGUCGUUAGGGAAGAGAAAGGACAGUACCUAAGGAGGAAGCUCCGGCUAACUACGUGCCAGCAGCCGCGGUAAUACGUAGGGGGCAAGCGUUAUCCGGAUUUACUGGGUGUAAAGGGAGCGUAGACGGCAGUGCAAGUCCGGAGUGAAAGCCCGGGGCUCAACCCUGGGACUGCUCUGGAAACUGUAAAGCUGGAGUGCGGGAGGGG
RNAcentral lists this ribosomal RNA (305 nucleotides) under uncultured bacterium. Its description in RNAcentral is "bacterial SSU rRNA". It matches the Rfam family "Bacterial small subunit ribosomal RNA", at positions 335 to 657 of the family's 1533-position model. The record is from RNAcentral.